Molecule: long non-coding RNA, 1005 nt
Filed under: Brassica napus (rape)
Lineage: Eukaryota; Viridiplantae; Streptophyta; Magnoliopsida; Brassicales; Brassicaceae
Description: long non-coding RNA (BNAP_LNC007997)
Source: RNAcentral
AUAUUUAUCAAAUUAUAAAUACAUUAAAUUAUUCUAUCAAUUAAAAAAUAAUUACUCCAUAAAAAUCUGUUGUACAAAAAUUAUAGUUUGACAAUUGCCUUAGUAACAUAACAAAUUAAAUUAACAAUUUUUGCCAUUGAGAUUUAUCUUUUAUUUAUAAAGCUCAGUAAGACUAUUUUAGUUCGACAUAAGAAGAUUAACCAACCAUUCUUAUUCACAUUCAUGGCUGCUACAUAUACCAUUCCUAAACAGUUAUAUUCAAACACAUGAACAAACUUAGUUUCCAAAAAAAAAAAAACUUAAGCAACUUGAAAAUGAUAUUCAUUCAUUAUAUUCCAAAAAGUCUUUUGCCAUUUUCUUUGCGGCUUAAGCAGCUUGUAGAAACUAGCAUUUUCAUUAAUGAAUAUUUACCAUUUAGCAAAAAAAAAACUUACUUUAUCAUUAAUCUAAUAUAAUCUAGUUCACUAAAAUUUGCACCAAAAUUUUGUUAAAAAUUUGGGGGAACAAAAAUACCAUAUCUAGCUUCUACGUCUAACUGCAUCACCAGAGUCGUCCUAUGAAAAUCCACGUCCUAUAAAUAAGGAUGUGUUCCUCCGUGAAGCUCAAUCCUCCUUAGACUCUGAAACAGCCACCUUGAACCUUUUGUUAUCCGACUUGAAAGCCAGUUGUUGUGCCAACACCGUUGAAGCCCGACUUUUUGGGUUUACCUGCUCAUCAUCGGAGAAGAUAAUUCCAAUGAACAAAUUAAAUUUAUGGUUUUUCAGAAACAGCCUAAGCUUAUCCACGGCUCUGUGAACACGCGCAUGCUUAACACCUCUAAACAUAUGUGAGGGUUCAACCUUCUCGUUUAACAGGUUUGACAUCACACGGAUUAACAAUAACUCUGUCACUCACCUCUUUCCACAAGUUUCAGUGACUUACUUCUUUUGUUGAGAUACUUUAUCCGGAAGAUCAUGUUUGAAGGUUAAGAUCCGAUGUAUUUAUUUGUACAAAGACAGAGAUUGG